RNAcentral lists this transfer RNA (72 nucleotides) under Nanobdellota archaeon. Its description in RNAcentral is "tRNA-His". It matches the Rfam family "tRNA". From Rfam's summary of the family: Transfer RNA (tRNA) molecules are approximately 80 nucleotides in length. Their secondary structure includes four short double-helical elements and three loops (D, anti-codon, and T loops). Further hydrogen bonds mediate the characteristic L-shaped molecular structure. tRNAs have two regions of fundamental functional importance: the anti-codon, which is responsible for specific mRNA codon recognition, and the 3' end, to which the tRNAs corresponding amino acid is attached (by aminoacyl-tRNA synthetases). tRNAs cope with the degeneracy of the genetic code in two manners: having more than one tRNA (with a specific anti-codon) for a particular amino acid; and 'wobble' base-pairing, i.e. permitting non-standard base-pairing at the 3rd anti-codon position. Lineage: Archaea; Nanobdellati; Nanobdellota. The record is from RNAcentral.
GCGGCCGUCGUACAACGGUUAGUAUAGAAGCCUGUGGAGCUUCGGAAGUGGGUUCGAUUCCCACCGGCUGCU